This 274-nucleotide ribosomal RNA is filed under the name uncultured bacterium. RNAcentral's name for it is "partial small subunit ribosomal RNA". It matches the Rfam family "Bacterial small subunit ribosomal RNA", at positions 26 to 282 of the family's 1533-position model. The record is from RNAcentral.
AGAAUCAACGCUGGCGGCGUGCCUAACACAUGCAAGUCGAACGCGAAAGGGGACUUCGGUUCCUGAGUAGAGUGGCGUCCGGGUGAGUAACACGUGGGUAAUCUGCCUUCGGGUGGGGAAUAACUCAGGGAAACUUGAGCUAAUACCGCAUAAUGCAGCGGCACCUAAUGGUGAUUAGUUGUUAAAGCGGGGGAUCGCAAGACCUCGCGCCUGAAGAGGAGCCUGCGGCAGAUUAGCUAGUUGGUAAGGUAAUGGCUUACCAAGGCUACGAUCC